UACAGAGGGUGCAAGCGUUGUUCGGAAUUAUUGGGCGUAAAGGGCAGGUAGGUGGUCUUUUAAGUCUGCUGUGAAAUCCCCGGGCUUAACCUGGGAAGUGCGGUGGAUACUGGAAGACUAGAGUGCUAUAGGGGUAUGCGGAAUUGCCGGUGUAGCGGUGAAAUGCGUAGAUAUCUGGAGGAACACCGGUGGCGAAGGCGGCAUCCUGGACCGGUAUUGACGCUGAGGCGCGAAAGCUAGGGGAGCAAACGGG
RNAcentral lists this ribosomal RNA (253 nucleotides) under uncultured bacterium. RNAcentral's name for it is "partial 16S ribosomal RNA". It matches the Rfam family "Bacterial small subunit ribosomal RNA", at positions 524 to 776 of the family's 1533-position model. The record is from RNAcentral.